ACCCUGCAGGAGGAAAGAUCGUUAGUAAAGCUGUUGGAUUUUCUCACUGAAAAUCUUUUGUGAGGUGUGCGGGAAGUGAAGGACGUGUGUUCUCAUUUCAGAAUGCCUCCGAUAUUUUCUUUAGGUUACCUUAACUCUGCGUGCCCGUGGCUGUGCAGCACGGACAGCUGGUGCCUGAUCAGGUAGGACAGUUGUGAUAGGUGUAACUGGCAAACGUGUAGGAUGUUCUUCCUGGGGCUGAUGUUGCUGGACCCUUGUAGUGGAAGUUGAUUUUAAUCUGAUGGAAUUUAAAUUCCCAACUUCUUCCUGUUUCAGUAAGUGGGCAAGUAGCAGCUGCUGCAGCAGACAUUAGGUCUCACUGGUAAUGAGAUGACUCCUUUGCAAUGUCUGCGCUGCAGUCUCCGGAUUCCCCAGACCUGCUGCCUUGUGAGCAGACCCAAUUUAACACAACCUGUCUAAUAUGAAAGAUCCCAGACUAAGAGCAGGGAGUGAACUUGCUUAAAGGUAGCUUUGCCGGCACUUCAAAGGAAAACCUACAUUCAGUAGAGACUCAGGUAUCUGCAAGGGGGCAGACUGCCUUUUAAAAAUGGCCUUUAAGUGUUUUGUUUGGUUACAUCAUAUCAUCUAGUAUCUGGACAUUCAAUUUAAAUGUGCAUAAUUCCUCUGUUUGCAUCUAAAAUAUACAAAGCAAUAGGAGUUGCUACUGUGUGUAAUAAAUUCUAUAACGUACUCCCAAAUCUAGCAUGUGGAUGCACAAGGUGGGUUAGCAGCAGAGUGACCAGCUGAGCUAGAUCUGCUACUGGUGUACAUCAGAAUUCCUCCCUGACAUCCACGGGUUUACACAAUUUACACCAGUGUUAGAUCUGGGUCUGAGUCUGGGAUUCUUAAAACUGGAAAGGAGUGGAAACAGCAACGUUGUCCCAAGAGAUCCCGGCUUCGCACUGGGGCACUGUUCCUGCUGUACCCGUGAGCACCCCAGCACUCAGUGGGAAAGGGAGUGAUGCUGCUUGGGAUGUGGCUGUGUGACUGGCAAGAGGUGCUGACGUUUCCUUCCUGCAGAUUUGUACGGCCAUGGCGUUCUGUAGAACGGGGGAAAGGCUCUUGCUGCUUUGCUCUACUGCUGCUUCCCUGUGGGCUUGCCAGAGGCAUUUGUUUUCUAUUGUCCCAUGCCUAUGCUGUGAGGUUUCAGCGCUGUUUUUUUCUCAGGGAUAUUGUUUGAGCCCUGCAUGUGCCUUGGCCAGCAGGCAGAGCCAAGAACCCAUCAUGGUUGGACUGGAUGAUCUUCAGAGGUCCCUUCCAACCUCGGCCAUUCUAUGACGGUGCUGUCUGUCAGAAGGGGACCCUGUGGUGUAGGACAUGGUGAUGCAAGUCCUGCUCCUGGGGUCCUGCUCCAGGGCCCUGUAUGUUGUGCAGGGUUGUUUAUUUUGAGAGGUGGGAUCAAUUUUUCCUGCCUGAAAGUCUGUGAGAUGUGGACAAGGGAUGCUAAUGUAGUCAUUUGUAAGAUGUAGGUGUCCAGGACAGAGUGCUCUAGUCGUGGAGCUCUGAGUAUUUCUAUUAUUUUUUAAAAUUGCCUUCUGGAUAUUUAUAAAUGUGGGAUUUUAUUUUAUUUUUUAUAUAAGCUCAAGCUAGUGCUGAAGCACGAGCAUAGCCUCCUGGCUGGCAGAGCAGCGAUGGUGAAGCCUUCACCACCAGACGUCCCAGCCUUCAAAGCUCCCUGAGCAAAAAGUUCCUGCUCCCUGAGCAAAAAAUAAAAGCAAAUUCCUGCUGCAGAGAGCAGAAUUAGAAGCCAAUGGUCUGCAAAGUCUAACAGAGCAGCAGUUUUGCAAGCAAUGCUGGUAAAUCCCUGGCAUGUAAAGUGGUACAGUGCAAACAAGUGCUGCACAUGCUUCUGCUGUGAACUGUGUUUGGGUUGUUGAAAUUGCACCACUGCUCUGUGAUCAGCGGAGGGAUCUGGCAUCUCUGGGUUUUGUUUAUUACAGAUGUCCUAGCAGCAAUAUCUAGCGUGAAGAGACAGGCAGAAUUUAGGUGAGACCAUCUAAAUGUAUGUGCCAAUGCAGCUUUCAAAUGAUUCCUUCCUCUCCCCCUUCACUGCACACGUGUGUUGGGGCUGGAGUUUUUGUGUGCUGGCUGCUGGAUUCUAUUCUAUAAUCCUGGAUUAUGCAGUUUGUUUGUUUUUUUCCUUUUGCAGCAUGAGUUACUGAUUUGUCCUGUUUAUGGAAGUAAAAUAUACUCUCCCUCCUUAGCUUGAUUGUGGCUUGCCAAAAUAAUGUUUGUUUUGUCUUGUUCCACUUUGGUUUUGCUUUUCAGAAGGGCAGGAUCGUCCAACAGUGCUGGCAGGCAAACAGCUGUGAGCAAGCUGUCAGGCUUCUCGCCCUGGGCUUUCAGUCAGGCUGGCUGCCUCCAGACUCAAGGGCUUUAAGUUAAACAGAUUUGCAGGAACAGCUGAGAUCUUCGUUCUGGAUAUGAGGUGUGACUAAGGGUCAGGGAAAGGAUGAGUUUUGUCCUGGCCUGGAUGUGUGGAAGAGAAUGAGCCCCUCUUGUGAACAGAAGCUCAUUUCUGAGUGCUUGAAAUCUGCCAGAUACUCAAAACUGUCUUGGUUUCCUGGCAGAGAGAGAAGAGGAAAGGCUUUUCAUCCUCCUUAUCUUUGGGCCCAGGAGCUCUCAUGGCUAAGUAGUGUAAUCUUUUUCAAAACAGAUUACUGGGGCUUCGCUGUACAUUUCAGUGCCUCGGCUUGGCGGGGCUGCUGCUGAGUCUGUUCGAGCCUUGCCUUUAUCAAGCUGUCUUCACAGAAGAAGUCUUCCCUCCUAUCCCUCUGUUUCUAGCUCAGUAUUAAUAAUGCGUCCUUGGUGGUAAAAUCUGUGGUAGUGUGGUCACCAUUGAUCUGCUGUGGUCAGGCUUAUAAAGGGGGGGAGGGAGGGGUUGGAGGCCAGCAUCCUUUUUCCCAUGCAGCUGUUAGACUGCUGGUUGGGCUUUGCAAAUUCACGAGCAAAAAUAUUGCCUGUGUGUAAAGAUAAUGUUCUUAAAUAUGCUUUUUUCUACUUGGACAGAAAGACCAUCUGUGGAUGCUUACGGGUAGGCGAGUGAACCAGAAGUACACUUAAUUGGUGGAUAUCUGUGGUGGGUAUAUGUGGUAUGUAAUGUAUGAGUUACCUGCUAGAGGAGGUCCACCGAUGGCUGCUAUCCCAGCAAAGAAGGAAGCAAAUCCCAAGUAGCUGUGGAGUUUUGGCACACCAACAAGAUCGACCUGAUUGUAAAACCAAAUCAGUAAUUAUCAGUAGGGUUCAUGUGAAUGAACAAGGCACAAAGCACCUUUUCUCGGGAGUUUCCUUUCCAGCUGCUGUAAUGUUUGGGGAGGACUUUGCACAUGUGAUUUAGCCUUGAAUCCGCUCGCCUCCUUAAGGUCGGUGCUGAAAUUACAGGGAUGCAAGGUGCAUUGCUCUCAUCCCGCUGUUCGGGCAGCUCCUGAAACUGGUGAUGCUGCUGAGGCUUUGAGGAGGCUGGUGUAAAAUCUGACUGCAUUCCUUCCCGGGAGGAAAUCCCAAAUUGUAAUAUUGUUUCCCUAUCCAGAUCCUGCUGUAACUGGUCUGUGUGUUACAGAUAAUUCAGGGGUUGGGACUAGAUAUUCACAACGCUCUGGUUUUGCCUGAGUGCUUGUAAAUGAAUGGAUUCAUUCUGGUUCCCAGGAGCUGGAGCCAUCUCCUUUAGAAAGGAGGAUGUGGGAAGCAAUUAGCUGAGUCAAAUCACUGACAAUCUGCAGCAGACUCUGGGUGCUUUUGUUGCACCUGGGCUGUGCAUGCCAGUCAGCGGGCUGGGGGGGAGACUGGGGCUCUCGAGGGGCUCAAACUGGGGGGUCUGGAGGGGAGACCCCUCUGAUGCAAGUCUGCAACAGCCCAGGGCACUUCAGCUUUAGGAAAAGGUUGUUAGGUAUUUUGUGGAAUAUUGCUGGAAACACUGUGUAUUAUUAUUAUUAUUUAUUAUUAUUUAAAGAAAUAUCCUCACCAGCACGGGGAGCACCAGAGCCAGGAAUCCACCACAGAAAAUGGCAAAGGCCACAGCGUAGGUCAUGAGCAGCGGGAACGUGGUGGCCAGAGGGCAGAGAAGGUUGGUGAUGCCGCAGAGCACCAGGUAAGCUGCGUGGUAGUGGUACUUCUUGGUCCAGUUCUGGUCGGCGAUCCACCCCGAGAGAAGUUGGCUGACUGUCUCUGUGAUGCCUGGGGAAAAGGAGGUCAUCGAGCCUCAAAGAAGAUUUUUUUUUUUUUUUUUUUUUUUACAUUUUUUUCCCUAUUUUGUGAAGAGCUGUGAAAUGCAUUCCGCCUGCCACUUGCUUUAAGGAUGUGGCCACAAAGGGCUGCAAUGCCAAGAAGCUGCAGGAAGGCAUUUUUAGGCUGUUGUAAAAUUCAUGCUUUUUUCUUUACCUUGGUGCCUUCGUUGCCUGUGGGUGCACAAAAGUGGUAUGUAGAAAUUCAAUUAAGGGCUGUGCACUCAACAGAAAACUCUGAAGUGCCUUCAGUAAAAAUAGGAAAGAAAGGUUUGUCACUUGAUCUUUUUCAAGAUGAAGAAAAAGCAGACUACUGAGAAGCGUUUGUGUGUGUUUUUUUUUAAGAAGCAAAAAAGGACAAAAGCCCAGCUUUUUUUUUUUUUUUAAAGGAUCAGCAAACCUUUCAUACUUGAUUUAACGUUUCCAGAUGCCUUUUUAUAAACUAAAGGUGAAAGGACUUGUAACUGUCAGCUCUGUCUUGGUGACCCUCCUACUCUUAAUUCAAAAUGUCAGAUGAAUGGCUGUGAUCUCUUUCUAGACACUUCCACAGCAUGCAUAAUUUCUAAAUGUUAUACAGCAUUGUAGAAGACAAAUUUAUUUUUGUAUAAUAAAAUAUUUUAUCAUGACUGA
Molecule: non-coding RNA, 4889 nt
Organism: Anas platyrhynchos (mallard)
Lineage: Eukaryota; Metazoa; Chordata; Aves; Anseriformes; Anatidae
Source: RefSeq, a predicted model, not a curated record